AGUGGCGGACGGGUGAGUAACGCGUGAGAAUCUGCCUUGGGGUCGGGGACAACCACUGGAAACGGUGGCUAAUACCGGAUACGCCUUCGGGUAAAAGAUUUAUUGCCCUAAGAGGAGCUCGCGUCUGAUUAGCUAGUUGGUGAGGUAAGAGCUCACCAAGGCAGCGAUCAGUAGCUGGUCUGAGAGGACGAUCAGCCACACUGGGACUGAGACACGGCCCAGACUCCUACGGGAGGCAGCAGUGGGGAAUUUUCCGCAAUGGGCGAAAGCCUGACGGAGCAAGAUCGCGUGAGGGAGGAAGGCUCUUGGGUUGUAAACCUCUUUUCUCAGGGAAGAAGCUCUGACGGUACCUGAGGAAUCAGCCUCGGCUAACUCCGUGCCAGCAGCCGCGGUAAUACGGAGGAGGCAAGCGUUAUCCGGAAUUAUUGGGCGUAAAGCGUCCGCAGGUGGCGAUUCAAGUCUGCUGUCAAAGCACGGGGCUUAACUCCGUAAAGGCAGUGGAAACUGAAUAGCUAGAGUGCCGUAGGGGUAGAGGGAAUUCCCGGUGUAGCGGUGAAAUGCGUAGAGAUCGGGAAGAACAUCGGUGGCGAAAGCGCUCUACUGGACGGCAACUGACACUCAGGGACGAAAGCUAGGGGAGCGAAUGGGAUUAGAUACCCC
RNAcentral lists this ribosomal RNA (660 nucleotides) under uncultured bacterium. Its description in RNAcentral is "bacterial SSU rRNA". It matches the Rfam family "Bacterial small subunit ribosomal RNA", at positions 94 to 788 of the family's 1533-position model. The record is from RNAcentral.